CAAAUUUAAUAAAGACGAUAAGCUCAAAGCUUUGUAGCCCUGAUGGCCAUAGACCAGCAGAACCUGUGGGGUAAGCGGACCAAAGACCCAGAGGUCAUGUCUCUUCUUAACAACAGAGUGCAGUCUCGUUCAAUUACUGUUAACUUACAAUCAAUAAGAUGACCUACAACACAUGAGUGGAACCUGGCUGCCUCUAUUUUGGAGCAAACGAAUUCUUCUUCCACUAUAGAUUUUUUAAACUUUUCUCCUGCCAGUCAGUUGGUAUCAAUAAUUACCAACAACAACACCGAGAGAGAAAAAUAAGCCUUCCUGCGAUUCUGGAGCAGUCGGAGCCUGGCAGCACGGCAGUUUUUCUGCACUCCCUCACUAGAGAUGGAAUCACUGCGAGAGGUUAACAUAGAGGGGUCACAUGUCACAAUGGAUGGACUAUUCUUCAUUCGCAUGAUUAGCGUCACCUGUCACUAAUCCCUCCAUCCAAGCCUUGGUGAAGUAAAAAGCUGUCAGUCAUAAUAUCAGAUGCGUCCGUCCUCCACCCUCGCCACCUCCGAUCAGCAGCAACGUCACGCUCCUCAUCACAGGAUUGCAGCCACUUCCCUCACCACCACCACCAGCGUCUGGACCACAAGGUGGAAUACAGCCUCGUCUGACCUAAACAUCUCUACCCCUGGACUGUCCUAUUGCUGGAUGGAGUCCAAUCUCCAAAGACUUUGCACAAAUUAUAUUUAUGCAUGUUUCAUAUAUUUGUGCUGAUUGAAUUGCCUUUCUAUAAGAAUCUCAAACAAAAAAAUAAAUAUUACAAGAUUACAGU
Long non-coding RNA from Gasterosteus aculeatus aculeatus (three-spined stickleback), 808 nucleotides. The record is from Ensembl. Lineage: Eukaryota; Metazoa; Chordata; Actinopteri; Perciformes; Gasterosteidae.